UGGUAGAGUACUGCGUUCGGGACGCAGGAGUCGGAGGUUCGAAUCCUCUCGCCCCGA
RNAcentral lists this transfer RNA (57 nucleotides) under Candidatus Accumulibacter sp. BA-94. It matches the Rfam family "tRNA", at positions 16 to 71 of the family's 71-position model. From Rfam's summary of the family: Transfer RNA (tRNA) molecules are approximately 80 nucleotides in length. The record is from Rfam by way of RNAcentral. Lineage: Bacteria; Pseudomonadati; Pseudomonadota; Betaproteobacteria.